GGAGAAUGUAUUGAAUCCUAUGGAAUUCAGGAUAUCAUUUCUGAUCCCUAUCCUCAGAUUAGUUGAGUAAGCACCUUUGCUCAGCUGAAAAUGACUCACUCAGAUCUUGUGACCUGGCCUGAAGUAGCGAGAGCCCUCUGCCUCACAUUCUUCAGGAAAUGAAUGAUGCUGCAAUCAAAACUCGGCUGGAAGUAAAGCAGGGUGGGGGUGAGGGGGCUUUGACAGAUAGAGAAAAGAAAUUUAGCUGUGGCAGAUUCACAUCCCAGGCAGACAGCGGGCAGUUGUAGAUGGUCCCCCAUACACGAGGGAGCAUCCAGAUGCCAGGUCCUGCCACAGGGGCCACAAGGAAGUGGAGUGUGUCCACACAUUCACGUCACCGCUCACCUCAGUCAUCUGGGUGCUAAUGGAUACCGACUCAACAGACUUCCUCGAGGGGUUUCAAAAAAAGGAGAAACAGAACACACAGUGAACACCGAACUCCAUUUCCCACAAGGUCUGGCGGUUCAACUGGAAAACAACAACGAGCUUGACAACACCACAAAUCAUGGCUGACAGCGAGUUACCCAGGUCAAGCUGUGCAGCUCAGUGUCGCAAAUCAUGUCUCCAAACCCCUGCUGUGUUAACCACCACUACGUACAUCAAAUAUCCAGAGUCAACCCAUCCCUGCCCUCUUGACCUUGAUCUCUGCUUCAUGCUUUGGAUUUGUUUGUUUGCUGACAGUUCUAUUUAAAUAAAAGCAUUCUUAC
Ictalurus punctatus (channel catfish) is the source of this 746-nucleotide long non-coding RNA. NCBI's taxonomy places the organism in Eukaryota, Metazoa, Chordata, Actinopteri, Siluriformes, Ictaluridae. The record is from Ensembl.